This 941-nucleotide long non-coding RNA is filed under the name Androctonus crassicauda. Lineage: Eukaryota; Metazoa; Arthropoda; Arachnida; Scorpiones; Buthidae. The record is from RNAcentral.
GUUGAGUUUUAAUUUUAGAUAAUAUACACUAGGUGGAUUCACCAAUAUUGAAAAAGACCAAUGUCUUUAAUGUUUUUUUCAGUCAGCAGACAUUUUUUCAAUAUUUUAAACUUUUAAAUUAAAGUUAUUCUCCAUUUGUUAUGUAUAAAUUAUUACUUAGCCUAUGUAGUCUCUUUCUUAAGGUUGAUUCUUAUUUUCUGUCACAGAUAAACAUAGGAGAAAUUCUACAUAUUUCUAUUCUAAGUAGCUUACCACCACUGUGGGAACACUGUGAUGGUAAGCUAUGCUUUCCCCAAGAUUCUUAGUACUGUUUCCAUAAUUCAUUUUGUUUUACACAAAAUGGACGCUAAGCAACAGAAAGCAGUCAUUGUUUAUGAAAUGAUAUUAAAGCUGCAGUAAAUGAGGAAACUGAAACAAAAUUGAGGAAGAAAAAAUGUUGGAUCUUUGAUUUCAACAUUAGAAAGCCAUAAGAAGAAAUGUGAACAAUGUUUCUAUGCGAAUUUGAUUUGAAAUUUGAAUAAUUUAUUAAAUUUGAAAUUUGGAUGAGAUUUAAUCUUGAAUUUAACAAUUGGGAUUCUCUAAGUUGUCAACUAUUCAAUGUUACAAAAUGCAUCAAUUUGAUUAAUGGACAUUAUCUUGACAGAUUUUAUUGUCAUGAUAAAGUUGAAUCCAUAUAGAUUCAGGACAAUAGCAGUUUUAACACACAAUAUGAUGUCAAAACUGAGCUACUUUUACCACGUACAUAUUUUCCACCUCAGUUCUGCACUAGUAGGAACCAACUUUUAUUUACCAACUGCUAUUAGUGCUAAAAAUAGAUGCUUUGCUUAAUUUACAGAUAAAACAGUACAAAAAAUAACCUUAAUAAAAUUUUAUUUUUAAAUUCCACAAAAUUUCAAAAAUUUUCAAUAAUGUUAAACAGUAUGAUAGCAGAAUGCUCUAAC